RNAcentral lists this ribosomal RNA (1433 nucleotides) under uncultured Pelagibacterales bacterium. RNAcentral describes it as "bacterial SSU rRNA". It matches the Rfam family "Bacterial small subunit ribosomal RNA". The record is from RNAcentral. Lineage: Bacteria; Pseudomonadati; Pseudomonadota; Alphaproteobacteria; Candidatus Pelagibacterales.
GAGUUUGCUCCUGGCUCAGAACGUACGCUGGCGGCACGCCUUAUACAUGCAAGUCGAACGAAGUAGUAAUACUUAGUGGCAGACGGGUGAGUAACAUGUAGGUAUCUUCCCUUUGGUGAGGAAUAACACGAGGAAACUUGUGCUAAUACCUCAUAAGUCUUUACGGAGAAAGCUUUAUGCGCCAAUGGAUGAGCCUGCACUUGAUUAGUUUGUUGGUGGGGUAAUGGCCUACCAAGACUUUGAUCAAUAGCUGAUCUGAGAGGAUGAUCAGCCACAUUGGGACUGAGACACGGCCCAAACUCCUACGGGAGGCAGCAGUAGGGAAUAUUGCACAAUGGAGGAAACUCUGAUGCAGCGAUGCCGCGUGAGUGAAGAAGGCCUUUGGGUUGUAAAGCUCUUUCGUCGCCCCCCCAAAAUGACUGUACCCGAAUAAGAAGGACCGGCUAACUUCGUGCCAGCAGCCGCGGUAAUACGAAGGGACCUAGCGUAGUUCGGAAUUACUGGGCUUAAAGAGUUCGUAGGUGGUUGAAAAAGUUGGUGGUGAAAUCCCAGAGCUUAACUCUGGAACUGCCAUCAAAACUUUUCAGCUAGAGUAUGAUAGAGGAAAGCAGAAUUUCUAGUGUAGAGGUGAAAUUCGUAGAUAUUAGAAAGAAUACCAAUUGCGAAGGCAGCUUUCUGGAUCAUUACUGACACUGAGGAACGAAAGCAUGGGUAGCGAAGAGGAUUAGAUACCCUCGUAGUCCAUGCCGUAAACGAUGUGUGUUAGACGUUGGAAAUUUAUUUUCAGUGUCGCAGCGAAAGCGAUAAACACACCGCCUGGGGAGUACGACCGCAAGGUUAAAACUCAAAUGAAUUGACGGGGACCCGCACAAGUAGUGGAGCAUGUGGUUUAAUUCGAAGAUACGCGCAGAACCUUACCAACACUUGACAUGUUCGUCGCGACUUUAAGAGAUUAAAGUUUUCGGUUCGGCCGGACGAAACACAGGUGCUGCAUGGCUGUCGUCAGCUCGUGUCGUGAGAUGUUGGGUUAAGUCCCGCAACGAGCGCAACCCUCACUUUUAGUUGCCAUCAUUAAGUUGGGCACUCUGAAAGAACUGCCAGUGAUAAGCUGGAGGAAGGUGGGGAUGACGUCAAGUCCUCAUGGCCCUUACGUGUUGGGCUACACACGUGCUACAAUGGUAUCUACAACAGGAAGCAAGACGGCGACGUCAAGCAAAUCCUUAAAAGAUACCUCAGUUCGGAUUGCACUCUGCAACUCGAGUGCAUGAAGCUGGAAUUACUAGUAAUCGUGGAUCAGCGUGCCACGGUGAAUGCGUUCCCGGGUCUUGUACACACCGCCCGUCACACCAUGGGAGUUGGUUCUACCUUAAGGCAAGGUUUAAAACCCUUGACCACGGUAUAGUCAGCGACUGGGGUGAAGUCGUAACAAGGUA